GACGAACGCUGGCGGCGUGCUUAACACAUGCAAGUCGAACGGAAAGGCCUCUUUCGGGGGGUACUCGAGUGGCGAACGGGUGAGUAACACGUGAGUAACCUGCCCUUGACUUUGGGAUAACUUCAGGAAACUGGGGCUAAUACCGGAUAGGAGCUCCUGCUGCAUGGUGGGGGUUGGAAAGUUUCGGCGGUUGGGGAUGGACUCGCGGCUCAUCAGCUUGUUGGUGGGGUAGUGGCUUACCAAGGCUUUGACGGGUAGCCGGCCUGAGAGGGUGACCGGCCACAUUGGGACUGAGAUACGACCCAGACUCCUACGGGAGGCAGCAGUGGGGAAUAUUGCACAAUGGGUGGAAGCCUGAUGCAGCAACGCCGUGUGCGGGAUGACGGCCUUCGGGUUGUAAACCGCUUUCGCUCAUGACGAAGCUUUGUGUGACGGUAGUGGGUAAAGAAGCACCGGCUAACUACGUG
This 467-nucleotide ribosomal RNA is filed under the name uncultured bacterium. RNAcentral's name for it is "partial 16S ribosomal RNA". It matches the Rfam family "Bacterial small subunit ribosomal RNA", at positions 28 to 507 of the family's 1533-position model. The record is from RNAcentral.